Non-coding RNA from Oryctolagus cuniculus (rabbit), 6176 nucleotides. Lineage: Eukaryota; Metazoa; Chordata; Mammalia; Lagomorpha; Leporidae. The record is from RefSeq and is a predicted model, not a curated record.
UGGGGCCCAUGGGGAUGGAGGUUUGAGUUCAGGUCUGAAGCCCAGCGCCUCCCUGAAGCUGCAGGCAGGCGCCCUCCUGUGGGCCCACCUCCUGGAGGCCCUCCUGCCUCACCUGUCCAGUGCCUGUGAGCAAGCUGCGGUUUCAAGCUCCAGUGGCCCGCUGCAGAGUGGACAGUGAGAGAGAGAGACAGAGAGAAAGGUCUUCCUUUGUUUCCGUUGGUUCACCCUCCAAUGGCCGCUGCAUCUUCUGAUCAAUAUUAAAAAGUAACACAAACGACCCAACAGGAAAAUGAGUCACAAUAUGAAGAAAAUAAAGCCCAGAGGCCGAUGCACAGAACUGUGACUCACUGAAGCAGUUACUGCACCGAGAGCUCCAGCAGGGAUCCAUCAGGGAGGACAGGGCCACAGGAGGGACCCGGCGGGUGCAGGAGCAGAGGGGAGAGGCCUCCUGCCUGGGGACGUGGAGUCCAACCUGCACCCAGGCCUCGCCUCCUGCUGCUCCCACCCAGCACAACCUGAAGUCAGGGGCCCAUUGCCGUGGAGGAUGUUGAUUGGCUGCGUCCUUUGUGAGGCUGUGUGUGCUCACGGCCAUGCACGCUGUCCAAUCAGGCAUGACGAUGUCCAGGUCACGUCAUCACGCGGGGUCUUGACGUCACAGUCAUCUUACAGUUCUGGGCAGGAGCGAGGUGCUAGGAGACAGCUCUGCAGGCGCUAGGCUCCCGAAGCAAGUCGGGCUCCGUGGCCUCCACCUUCAUCACCGGGGGACGCUGGACACCUGGAGCUGAAAACCGCGACGUGCUUUCUUCCAAUCAAUAUUAAAAAGUAACACAAACGACCCAACAGGAAAAUGAGUCACAAUAUGAAGAAGCCCAGAGGCCGACGCACAGAACUGUGACUCACUGAAGCAGUUACUGCACCGAGAGCUCCAGCAGGGACCCAUCAGGGAGGACAAGGCCACAGGAGGGACCCGGCGGGUGCAGGAGCAGAGGGGAGAGGCCUCCCGCCUGGGGAGGUGGAGUCCGACCUGCACCCAGGCCUCGCCUCCUGCUCUCCCACCCAGCACAACCUGAAGUCAGGGGCCCAUUGCCCUGCAGGAUGUUGAUGGGCUGCGUCCUUUGUGACGUUGUGUGCAUUCACGGCCAUGCACGCUGUCCAAUCAGGCACGACGACGUCCACGCCGCGUCAUCACGCGGGGUCUUGACGUCACAAUCAUCUUACAGUUCUGGGCAGGAGCGAGGUGCUAGGAGACGGCUCUGCAGGCGCGAGGCUCCCAAAGCAAGUCGGGCUCCGUGGCCUCCACCUUCAUCACCGGGGACGCUGGACACCUGGAGCUGGAAACCUCGACGUGGGAAACAGCCAUGAUCAGCACAGGAGCUUUCUGGGGGAUAAGGGAAUACAGACUGGAGAGUGGAAUAAGGGAAUUCUGAGUACCAGGCAUUUCUCCAGACAUAGAAAUGGAACUACAAUUAUUUGGGAUGCGGUCUGUGAGAGAGAAUUAGAAACUUUCCAGGAAUGUGGAGACACAGGAGAAAUCUGGUGAGAAAAGCAUGUGAUUUGACUGUAAUUCCAUCCAAGGUCCAAGGUUAAGUAUUUGCAUGUCUUUUAUAUUGCAUUGCUGUUCUAGAGACACAAGGAUUUCUUGUAUCCUAAUUUGAUUAAUUCAACAAUUUGCCUCCUGGCAGUCCUAAUUAGAAACAAUAAACAAACGUGUGGUCAGAGUCUACAAGUUAUGAUUGUUAAAUUAACUUGUCCUAUGCUUUCUACUGGCAGCUCUUUGGUAAAUUUUAUGUAUUUCUUGUCCUUUUUAAUAUUUUAAAAAUUCUAUAAAGGGAACAAAUUUCAUAUGUGCAGUUUUAAGAACAUAAUGGUACUUCCCACUCUACCCUCUCUCUCCCUCACUCCCACCCUCCUUCCUUCAUUCCUUGUUUUUCCUUUAGUUAUUACAAUGACAUACUUUUAAUUUUAUUUAUAUUCACAAACUUAAUGCUCCAAUGAAUACAGAUUUCAACAAGCUAUAAGUAGGAAAAAAACACUGUUCUCAAGUAUACAGACAAGGUCUAUACUCAGAUCUCAAAAUGUGAAUUUCCCUCAUAUGCAUUGCUUUUUUUGUACUCUGAAUUAACACAAAUAAGGGAAAACAUAUGAUGCUUGUCUUCUUGAGAACGGGUUACUUUGCUAAUCAAAAUAGUCUCUGGUUACACAUAUUGUGUUGUGAGAGACAGGAAUUUGUCCUACAUUAAUGGCUAAAUCAUAGUCCACCAUACAUACAUACAUAUAUAUAUAUAUAUAUGCAUAUACACAUAUAUAUCCACAGUUUCUUUAUUCAGUCUUCAGGUGAUUUAAAUAUUAGUUGAUUAUAAGUCAUAGCUAUUGUGAAUUGAGCUGCUACAGACAUUGGGGUACAAAUAAUACUUUCAUAUGCUGAUAUCAUUUCCUUUGUGUAAAUUCCCAGGAGCAGAAUGACUGUGUCAGAUGGUAAAACUUUCAGAUUUCAGAGGAAUUAUCAAGCUAUCUUCCACAAUGGUUGUACUAAUUUACAUUCCCAGCUAAAGUGUAUUAGGGUACCCCCCCAACUAGCAUUUGUUAUUCAUUAAUUUUGGAUGACAGCCAAUCUAAAUGGGGCGAGUGAAACCUCACUGUGGUUUUUAUUUGCAUUUCCCUGAUGGCUGUGAUGCUGAGCAUCUUUUCAUAUGUCUGUUGGCCUUUUGUAUUUCACCUUUGAAAAAUGGUGUUCAAUACGUUAGUCCAUUUCUUAACUGGAUUGUUUUGCUGUUGAGUUUCUUGAGCUCCUUAUAUAUCUUGGAUAUUAAUCUUUCAUCGGAUAUAUAAUUUGCACUAUUUCCCCCCAUUCUGUUGGUCGAUGUUUACUUUGUCGUGUGUUUCCCUUGUUGUACAGAAUAUACUUAGCUUGAUAUACACCCAUUUGUCUGUUUUUGCCUUUAUUUUCUGUGCCUUCCAGGGUCUUCCACAUGCUUGGUUAAAUUUAUACCAAGGUAUAUAUUUUUUAUAUCAAUUGUGAAUGAGUCUGAUCUUACAACUUCUUUCUCAGCAAUGAAAUAGGCUAUAUGUUUUUGUGUGUUGAUUUUAUAUCCUACUUUUCAAAACUCUGUUAUAAAGUCUAGGAAUCUCUUAGUGCAGUCUUUUGGUUCCUCUAUGUUUAGGACCAUAUCAUCUGCAAACAAAGAUAAAACAUGACUUCCUCCCUUCCCAUUUGUAUCCCUUUGUUUUAUUUGUCUUGUCUAAUGGCUCUGGCUAAAACAUCCAGCCCUAUAUUGGAUAGUAUAUAUCCUAUAGUGGAUUUAUCCUAAUUGGAGAUAUAUAUCCUAUAUUGGACAGUAAUGGUGAGAGUAAGCAUACUGGUCUGGUUCCAGAUUUUAGUGAAAAUGCUUCCAGCUUUCCCUUAUGUGAUUAUUUAAAUAUUUAAAAAAUAGAAGAGUAAAAAUAGUUAAUUCCUUAAUCUGAUCAAGAUAGUCUAAAAUGUACAUGCAACAGUUAAUACAGGAUCAUUGAAUGCUUUCUCUGGGAGUGGACUCAGACAAGAUUCCCUCUCCUUGUUACCUCUCCUCAGCAUUUCACUGGAUGUUUAGUGAUGGAAACAAAUAACAAACAGGAAACUUGAACUAUAAGGAUCUAUUUUGGGCAACCAUACAUGUGGAUCCCAUCAUUAUAUGAAAGAUAACCUGACAAUAAUUAAACACAAUUACUGGAUCCAAGAUCAAUAAAUGAAACUAACACCAUUACUAUGUAACACAAAAAAUCUUAUUAAACAACAAAAAAGACAAGGAAACAAAUAUCUCAAUAAAAAAUAAGUAAAAGAGGAUUAAUCUAUGUACUAUCUUUUAACAUUCUUCAAAACAAUAUAUUUAAAAAAGUCCACAGACCUAACAAAAAAUGAGUGUAAAAUAUGAAGAAAAAGGUCCAGAAGCCAAAGAACAGUCAGUGAAUUGUAACUUCCCCUGCAACAGGUUAUGUCCAUCAACAAAUCACAGUUUCGUAGCAGGAAAAUGGACACAGGAGGCAAGGAGGGAUUCCUGGAGGUGAGACCACCUAGAAGCUGAUGGCUGCUCCCACUUUAGGGAGGUUCUGGGCCCAGGAGGAGGAGGUGGCUUCAGAUCUGAACUCAGACCCUGUGGCUCACUCCUGCUUCACAUCGCACAAUCACAAAUGGCCCACCUAGCUAUAGGGAGGAUUCUGAUUGCCUGCAUCUGUUCUGAUGUGCGUGCUCAGAGGCUGUGCAAAUUGCUCAAUCAGCAGGAUCCUUGGUUGCAACACUACCUAAUCUUGCAAGAUUAUCAUUUUGGGAGCUGCCAUAGUUGCAGAUUGCUUUGAGGUGUCAGUCAGUGGCUCAUACUCCACUUUCUGUGACUGUCCCUCACCAUAGAUGCUGGAAACCAGGAGGCUGGGAUACCUUGGAAGCUGGGGUAUUGGACAUGGUGGGUGUAGUUCUGGGCAUCAGGUAGGGGGAGCAUGCAACUUAUUGAAAUUGUAUGGAAAUGCUUGUAAUGAGGCCCAGGAGAACCAUGGUUAGCUCUGAAAUCUAUGGAUGCAGGCUCCUUCUUGGAAAGCCUCUUCCCUAAUUCUUUUGGCCUAUGAAGUGUGGACUGGAGGAGCACCCAGCACAUCAUACAUCCUGUCCUGUCACUGUAAGCAGCUACUCUGGAUCACUCACAAAGUACCUGCUGGGAAACUCCACACCCACAGCUCUAGUCUCCCCCAUUGUGUAGUGAGGAUAUGAAAGUCAUUAAAGAGAACCAGGACUGCAGGGUGAAGCUGUGGUUUGUGCAGUUUUUGGUUACUCCUUUCUCCAAAGUGGUUACAUGAAUCCCAUGACUUUAACCCACUGUUAAUUCAAAACCAUUUGUUCAGUCUCCAUGUGUUUCCAUAUGAUGUAGAGAAUCCUGAGUCGUUGAAUUCCAGCUUUAUUCCAUUUUUCAUCUAAGAUGAUGCAUGAUGUUAUUUCAAAUUUUGAAUUUGCUGAGACUUGAAUUAUGGCCUAGAAUAUGGUCUAUGCUUUUAAGAGUAUCAGAUACAUCAAACUAAUAUGGCGUCUGCAAUUAAAUUGAUUUGUUGUUCAGGAACAGUCUAGAGACUUCCCUUUAUUGUAUGAUUUUAUGGGUUAUAAUUGCUGUAAUUUUAUUUUUAAUAAUGAGAAAAGUGAGAGUGAUAAAGCACAUUGUUGGAAUUUUAGUACUGUUGGAAACUGAAAGUAUUGGCUUUUUAUAACAAAAUAAGGCAAAUCAAUGAAAAAGGAAAAUUAUGUGAACACACUUCGUAAAAGUCCACAUACAAGUAAAAGUGCAUGAGGAGCCAGCAUUGUGGCAGAACAGGUAAUUCUUCUGCCCAUGACAGCAUUCCAUAUGAGCACUGAUUCAUGUCCUCAUGGCUGCUGCACUUCCAAUACAGCUCCUAACUAAUGGCAUGGGAAUUCUGCUAAAUAUGGAAUAGUUCAAAGAGAAAGCACAGUUCUUUGAUAACCCUUUCUUGGUUGCAUUUUACAUAUCAUCUAAUGUUGAGCAGCACAAUAUGAUAAAAAUAGUUUUUUGAGGAAAAAACAGGCAAGUCACAGGACAGAAUAAAACACCUGGUCACUCAAUAGAAUGGAUUAUUUGUUUUUAAUAAUUUAUUUUUAUUACUGUAGAGAGAACAGAUUUCAUGUAAUUCAAAGGCACAAUUCUAAGGUUAUAAUGAUAUUUAUCUCACCUCCUCUUCUGUAUUUCUUUUCUAAUUUUUCUGAUAACAGUUUUAUAUACAGGCUUAAUGUACCACUAAAUAAAGAGUUCAACAAGUCCAAAGUAGAAAGACCACUGUUCACAGGAGUAAAAACAAGCAUUAUAAAUAAUAAUCAAACCCCAACAUGAAAGUUUCACUCACAUACAAUAAAUUUGCUUUGUACUCUGUAUAUUGGCCAGUACACAUCAGAGAAAACAUGAUUUUUUUCAUUCUUCAUUUUGAGGUCAUCAACUCCCUGUAUAUUUUGGAUGGUUUCCUAGUACCUUUAAUGUUCAUAGUUUUUCAGAAUCUUCUAGGCCCUAGUGCUAUCAUAUUCAUUGACAGGAAAUAUAUAUUUACUCUUGUGAAUAUUUAGAGAACUAUCUUAUAUUUUUGAAAUUGUCCAAAAUGUAGUUCUCUGUGCCAUAUUUUUCAUCAAGUGGCUCACAAUUCUCUAAGUUGUGUAA